GAACGCGAAGAACCUUACCCGGGCUUGAAUUGCAGAGGAAGGAUUUAGAGAUAAUGACGCCCUUCGGGGUCUCUGUGAAGGUGCUGCAUGGUUGUCGUCAGCUCGUGCCGUGAGGUGUCGGCUUAAGUGCCAUAACGAGCGCAACCCCUGUCUUUAGUUGCCAUCAGGUUAAGCUGGGCACUCUGGAGAUACUGCCACCGUAAGGUGUGAGGAAGUGGGGAUGACGUCAAAUCAGCACGGCCCUUACGUCCGGGGCUACACACGUGUUACAAUGGCCGGUACAGAGGGACGGUGUAAUGUAAAUUGCAUCCAAUCUUGAAAGCCGGUCCCAGUUCGGACUGGGGUCUGCAACCCGACCCCACGAAGCUGGAUUCGCUAGUAAUCGCGCAUCAGCCAUGGCGCGGUGAAUACGUUCCCGGGUCUUGUACACACC
RNAcentral lists this ribosomal RNA (433 nucleotides) under uncultured bacterium. RNAcentral describes it as "bacterial SSU rRNA". It matches the Rfam family "Bacterial small subunit ribosomal RNA", at positions 957 to 1391 of the family's 1533-position model. The record is from RNAcentral.